GACAGAGGGUGCAAACGUUGUUCGGAAUUAUUGGGCGUAAAGCGCGCGCAGGCGGUCCUUUAAGUCUGAUGUGAAAGCCCACGGCUCAACCGUGGAGGGUCAUUGGAAACUGGGGGACUUGAGUGCAGAAGAGGAGAGUGGAAUUCCACGUGUAGCGGUGAAAUGCGUAGAGAUGUGGAGGAACACCAGUGGCGAAGGCGACUCUCUGGUCUGUAACUGACGCUGAGGCGCGAAAGCGUGGGGAGCAAACAGG
Molecule: ribosomal RNA, 253 nt
Filed under: uncultured bacterium
Lineage: Bacteria
Description: partial 16S ribosomal RNA
Rfam family: Bacterial small subunit ribosomal RNA
Source: RNAcentral